UACGGAAGAUGCGAGCGUUAUCCGGAUUUAUUGGGUUUAAAGGGAGCGUAGGCGGGCUGUCAAGUCAGCGGUCAAAUGGCGCGGCUCAACCGCGUUCCGCCGUUGAAACUGGCAGCCUUGAGUAUGCACAGGGUACAUGGAAUUCGUGGUGUAGCGGUGAAAUGCUUAGAUAUCACGAGGAACUCCGAUCGCGCAGGCAUUGUACCGGGGCAUUACUGACGCUGAGGCUCGAAGGUGCGGGUAUCAAACAGG
This 252-nucleotide ribosomal RNA is filed under the name Paraprevotella xylaniphila YIT 11841. RNAcentral describes it as "partial 16S ribosomal RNA". It matches the Rfam family "Bacterial small subunit ribosomal RNA", at positions 524 to 776 of the family's 1533-position model. The record is from RNAcentral. Lineage: Bacteria; Pseudomonadati; Bacteroidota; Bacteroidia; Bacteroidales; Prevotellaceae.